GAAGUGUAUUAAAUAGACUGGUUUGGGGUGGUAAUUCCCAAUUAUCCUGAGUCUCCUAUGUCUCCGCUGGUUCUGCCCAGCUCCUGUUCUCCUGUGUUCCCUCCCAGCCUUCAUCUCCCACCUCCUCUCCUAGAACCAGCCAGUUCCUCAGCCAUGCCUCCACUGGUUUCUGUCAGUCCCUCAGCUCACUCUCAGUCAGCACCAUCCGGUUGCUCUGAUUCUGCUUGGGCCUUCCAGUCUCCAGCUCUGCCUUGGCAUGAGGAUCCCUUAUCUCUGCCUCCAGGCUUUGUGUCCCGGUCUCCACCUCAGUCCUCUGACCCAUUGACUACUCUUGGCAUCUUGCUCCCUCGUCUCUACUGUGGCCCAUCAUACCACUGGCUCCACCUGGCUCCCUCAUUCCUCUGGCUCCACCUUGGUCAGUCGUUGACUUUCCUCCGCUACGGGAUUCCACUCCUCUGGAUUCACCUCAUCCCCCUGGCUCCACUGUUGUCCUUAGCCACUUCAGCUUCUCCACAGUCUCCGCCUUGCUCACUUGGCCCUCUGGACCUCGGGUGUCACCCUGGCUCUCCGUCUGCUCUGCUCCACCUUGGUCUACACCUCCAGAGGCUCCAUCUCCAUCGCUCAUCCCCAGGGUAUCAUCUGCCAUGUUUCCACCAUGGCUCCUCCCUCCCUCAACUCAGCCCUGGGGCCUCAUCCUGGCUGGUCUCUGGACCAACACCUGUCUCCUCCUGCUCCUGGCCUCCCCCUGGCUAUGACCACCCUCCACUCCCCCCAUGGACUAAUAUAUUAGACUUGUUUUGUUUUGCCCCUCUUCAGUUCCUCACCCUCCUCCAGAACCCCCACCUGUCCUCCCUCCCUUCCUCCUUCCUCAGAUGGACUAUAUGUGAUGCGAGGACGCGCCUGCCCAGGAGAGGGGCGAACUGUAACGUGGCUGUUGAUUUCUGUGUUAAUUUUCCUUUGACCUUAGUUGUCUUAAUUAUGUCAUUCUGUUCACCUGUGUUUUAAUUAUCUCGUUAUUCCCAGUGUUUAAAUACCUUUUGUUUCUUCUAGUCUCGGUCCAUCUGGGUUUUCAUUUAUAUUUGAUUGUGUUUUACUAGUUCUC
This is a long non-coding RNA of Cyprinus carpio (common carp), 1102 nucleotides long. The record is from Ensembl. NCBI's taxonomy places the organism in Eukaryota, Metazoa, Chordata, Actinopteri, Cypriniformes, Cyprinidae.